GAUGUGGGAGAGCAAGGAGGCCUGGAAGAGUCACCUCACGUCAUCCCUGGCCAAGAACUUCCAACACAGCAACAUUGACAACCUGCAGCAACCAGAAUCUUGUAACAGUAUGCCUAUACCUAGUGCAUGGUGGAAAAGAGACUGAAGAUGUGGAGCCAAGCUAGUUCUGGGAACAGAAAUAAAGAAGAACACCUUAGUACAAUUGACAAAAAAAAUUGUCAGACCCCCACCCACCUUUAGUGAAGCGUGUUAAAAGUGUCUGUUCUGUCUCCCCAGCUGUGAUAUCUGUAUGCUGUUCACUCGUCUCUUUACUGAAUAGAUAGACAUAUUUCCUUGUAGGGACCAGCUUAGUUCCCACAGAUACAGAGAGAGAGGUGAUCUUAGAACUUAGAUCUCUCAGUGUUACAUGUGCUGUAAAUGAUGAACUAUAAAAUAACAUUGAGAACAGUACAAAGAGCAGGCUAGUAGCUGUAGGCUAGGGGUUUGGGGGGUUCAAACAAACUGCUCUUUUUGCUGGAAAAAGGUCCCACUUGGGUAAAAUUUGACCAAAGUACACAAAAGUUUCAAGGUAAAAGGUCCACUUUCUAGAAAACAACCCCCUGGUAGAUUUUGAAAUUGCUGACUAUGGGCCUGAAGGGUUUCUACAGUCAAAAUGAAGAGGCAAAAUGAAUUCAGUUGAUGGAUCUAUUUCAGUGAGUAUUUCUGAGUAAGUGCAUUUGGCAGAAGUGAAUUAAUUGGUUUACUGCCAGCUGUAUACUGCCAGUGUUUUAAAAGUAUUUAAAACUUCUGCCUUCCAUCUCAACAUGAGGCAGGUACCUUAAAGUAUGCGGUCACUCUCCACUUUACAGCAGCGCCCUCUAGGAGGACUCCAUGAAACAACAUAUAGGUGGAGCAUUGUAGCCAAAAAUUUGAAAUCAACAAGUGUUCAAUUUGAAUAAUGUUCAGUACAAACAGAUACAGUCUGCAUUGUCUAGAUCAUAAGAGGAGGAAAGCCUGCUCUAGAUAGUCUGGGAAAUAUUUUCCAGUGUCUUGGUGAAAGAGAUUAAUUUUCUGUUGGCAAAUAGUAUUAAAGUUAUGAAUUCUGGGACAGGAACUUUCAGUAAUGGCAGUUGCUCAGGACACUUUUCACAGAUCAAGGAUGAAUUUAUAAAGAGUUGACUUUUCUGUAAGCAAAAGUAUUAAAGUUAUGAAUUCUGGGGCAGGAAAUUCCUCAGGAGACUAUUCAAAGAUCAAAGAUGAAUUACUGGUAGAAUUUUUUUUUUAAUUUUGUGUAUAUACAGGUCACAUUUUUGUAUAUGUUUAGCGUAUGUUGGCGUAAUACAACAUAUUCUAUCCCUUCAGAGUACAAGUACUUAAAUUGUGUAUUUUCUAGUUAGGAGUAUAUUUUUUAGAACCCGUAUUAUGUUUACCUAAGGAAUCUGUAUAGCAGCAUUUCAUCAGUGCCCUCUUGUGUUUGAUGUUUUUUGGGGUAUAUAAAACUUGUCUUCCAUGUCUUCACUGAACAGCUGACUACAGUGUAGUGAUUGUUAAAACAUCCAACAGCGAAUUAGAGCAAUAGCUAAGAGUACGUAUCUUUAUACCUGUAUUUUUUCGUUUUCAUCUAUACUAGUUAUCGUAUAAAAAAUAAACU
This 1630-nucleotide long non-coding RNA is filed under the name Lingula anatina. RNAcentral's name for it is "uncharacterized LOC106175058". The record is from RNAcentral. Lineage: Eukaryota; Metazoa; Brachiopoda; Lingulata; Lingulida; Lingulidae.